Molecule: ribosomal RNA, 106 nt
Filed under: uncultured bacterium
Lineage: Bacteria
Description: partial 16S ribosomal RNA
Rfam family: Bacterial small subunit ribosomal RNA
Source: RNAcentral
UACGUUCCCGGACCUUGUACACACCGCCCGUCAAGCCAUGGAGUUGGGAGGACCUGAAGACAGUUGCUGUAAGGCGCUGUUUAGGGUUAAACCGAUGACUGGGGCU